GAACUUAAGCAUAUCAAUAAGCGGAGGAAAAGAAACCAACAGGGAUUGCCUCAGUAACGGCGAGUGAAGCGGCAACAGCUCAAAUUUGAAAUCUGACCCCUGCGGGGCCCGAGUUGUAAUUUGUAGAGGGUGUUUCGGGCGCGGCGCCGGUCUAAGUUCCUUGGAACAGGACGUCGCAGAGGGUGAGAAUCCCGUAUGUGACCGGUGAUCAAGCCCAUGUGAAGCCCCUUCGACGAGUCGAGUUGUUUGGGAAUGCAGCUCAAAAUGGGUGGUAAAUUCCAUCUAAAGCUAAAUAUUGGCCGGAGACCGAUAGCGGACAAGUAGAGUGAUCGAAAGAUGAAAAGCACUUUGGAAAGAGAGUUAAACAGUACGUGAAAUUGUUGAAAGGGAAGCGCUUGCAAUCAGACCGGUCCGGGGGUGAUCAGCCGCUGCUCGUCAGCUGGUGCACUCGCCCCCGAUCCGGCCAGCAUCGGUUUGGGCGGUGGGAUAAAAGCCCCGGGAAUGUAGCUUCUUUCGGGGAGUCUUAUAGCCCGGGGUGCAAUGCUGCCCGCCUGGACCGAGGACCGCGCUUCGGCUAGGAUGCUGGCGUAAUGGUUGCAAGCGACCCGUCUUGAAACACGGACCAAGGAGUCUAACAUCUAUGCGAGUGUUUGGGUGUCAAACCCAGGCGCGGAAUGAAAGUGAACGGAGGUGGGAGCCUGUCAAACGGUGCACCAUCGACCGAUCCAGAUGUCUUCGGAUGGAUUUGAGUAUGAGCAUAGCUGUUGGGACCCGAAAGGUACGUUCCGUUUUCUGUCAUUCCCGGACAUGCGUUUGUUUUUUUUUUAUUUUUUAGACAUGCUAACAAUGAGAUAGAUGGUGAACUAUGCCCGGAUAGGGUGAAGCCAGAGGAAACUCUGGUGGAGGCUCGCAGCGGUUCUGACGUGCAAAUCGAUCGUCAAAUCUAGGCAUAGGGGCGAAAGACCAAUCGAACCAUCUAGUAGCUGGUUCCUGUCGAAGUUUCCCUCAGGAUAGCAGUAACGUUUUCAGUUUUAUGAGGUAAAGCGAAUGAUUAGAGGCCUUGGGGCUGAAACAGCCUUAACCUAUUCUCAAACUUUAAAUAUGUAAGAAGUCCUUGUUACUUAGUUGAACGUGGACAUUUGAAUGCACCGUUACUAGUGGGCCAUUUUUGGUAAGCAGAACUGGCGAUGCGGGAUGAACCGAACGCGAGGUUAAGGUGCCGGAAUGCACGCUCAUCAGACACCACAAAAAGUGUCAAUUCAUCCAGACAGCCGGACGGUGGCCAUGGAAGUCGGAACCCGCUAAGGAGUGUGUAACAACUCACCGGCCGAAUGAAUUGGCCUUGAAAAUGGAUGGCGCUCAAGCGUGCUACCCAUACCUCGCCGCCAGGGUAGACACGAUGCCCUGGCGAGUAGGCAGGCGUGGGGGUCCGUGACGAAGCCUUGGGAGUGAUCCCGGGUCGAACGGCCUCCAGUGCAGAUCUUGGUGGUAGUAGCAAAUACUCAAAUGAGAACUUUGAGGACUGAAGUGGGGAAAGGUUCCAUGUGAACAGCAGUUGGACAUGGGUUAGUCGAUCCUAAGAGAUAGGGAAACUCCGUUUCAAAGCGCGCACUCGUGCGCCGUCCCUCG
This 1629-nucleotide ribosomal RNA is filed under the name Lobaria pulmonaria (tree lungwort). RNAcentral describes it as "LSU rRNA". It matches the Rfam family "Eukaryotic large subunit ribosomal RNA", at positions 30 to 1596 of the family's 3401-position model. Lineage: Eukaryota; Fungi; Ascomycota; Lecanoromycetes; Peltigerales; Lobariaceae. The record is from RNAcentral.